Molecule: ribosomal RNA, 2348 nt
Filed under: Streptococcus sp.
Lineage: Bacteria; Bacillati; Bacillota; Bacilli; Lactobacillales; Streptococcaceae
Description: partial contains 16S ribosomal RNA, 16S-23S ribosomal RNA intergenic spacer, and 23S ribosomal RNA
Rfam family: Bacterial small subunit ribosomal RNA (bases 1-1537)
Source: RNAcentral
GGCUCAGGACGAACGCUGGCGGCGUGCCUAAUACAUGCAAGUGGAACGCAUUUUGAUUACCGUAGCUUGCUACACCGAUUAAAAUGAGUCGCGAACGGGUGAGUAACGCGUAGGUAACCUACCUCAUAGCGGGGGACAACUAUUGGAAACGAUAGCUAAUACCGCAUAAGACAUUUUAUCGCAUGAUAGGAUGUUAAAAGAUGCAACUGCAUCACUAUGAGAUGGACCUGCGUUGUAUUAGCUAGUUGGUGAGGUAACGGCUCACCAAGGCUGCGAUACAUAGCCGACCUGAGAGGGUGAUCGGCCACACUGGGACUGAGACACGGCCCAGACUCCUACGGGAGGCAGCAGUAGGGAAUCUUCGGCAAUGGGGGCAACCCUGACCGAGCAACGCCGCGUGAGUGAAGAAGGUUUUCGGAUCGUAAAGCUCUGUUGUAAGCGAAGAACAGUGAUAGGAGUGGAAAAUCUAUCACAUGACGGUAGCUUACCAGAAAGGGACGGCUAACUACGUGCCAGCAGCCGCGGUAAUACGUAGGUCUCAAGCGUUGUCCGGAUUUAUUGGGCGUAAAGCGAGCGCAGGCGGUUAGAUAAGUCAGAAGUUAAAGGCUGUGGCUCAACCAUAGUACGCUUUUGAAACUGUUUAACUUGAGUGCAGAAGGGGAGAGUGGAAUUCCAUGUGUAGCGGUGAAAUGCGUAGAUAUAUGGAGGAACACCGGUGGCGAAAGCGGCUCUCUGGUCUGUCACUGACGCUGAGGCUCGAAAGCGUGGGUAGCGAACAGGAUUAGAUACCCUGGUAGUCCACGCCGUAAACGAUGAGUGCUAGGUGUUAGGCCCUUUCCGGGGCUUAGUGCCGCAGCUAACGCAUUAAGCACUCCGCCUGGGGAGUACGACCGCAAGGUUGAAACUCAAAGGAAUUGACGGGGGCCCGCACAAGCGGUGGAGCAUGUGGUUUAAUUCGAAGCAACGCGAAGAACCUUACCAGGUCUUGACAUCCCUCUGAUCGGUCUAGAGAUAGGCUUUCCCUUCGGGGCAGAGGUGACAGGUGGUGCAUGGUUGUCGUCAGCUCGUGUCGUGAGAUGUUGGGUUAAGUCCCGCAACGAGCGCAACCCUUAUUGUUAGUUGCCAUCAUUUAGUUGGGCACUCUAGCGAGACUGCCGGUAAUAAACCGGAGGAAGGUGGGGAUGACGUCAAAUCAUCAUGCCCCUUAUGACCUGGGCUACACACGUGCUACAAUGGUUGGUACAACGAGUCGCAAGCCGGUGACGGCAAGCUAAUCUCUUAAAGCCAAUCUCAGUUCGGAUUGUAGGCUGCAACUCGCCUACAUGAAGUCGGAAUCGCUAGUAAUCGCGGAUCAGCACGCCGCGGUGAAUACGUUCCCGGGCCUUGUACACACCGCCCGUCACACCACGAGAGUUUGUAACACCCGAAGUCGGUGAGGUAACCUAUUAGGAGCCAGCCGCCGAAGGUGGGAUAGAUGAUUGGGGUGAAGUCGUAACAAGGUAGCCGUAUCGGAAGGUGCGGCUGGAUCACCUCCUUUCUAAGGAAAAUCGUAGGAAUACGAUCGGAAGGUACGUUUGUUUGUCUUGUUUAGUUUUGAGAGGUCUUAACCAUAGAGACGUGGGGCCUUAGCUCAGCUGGGAGAGCGCCUGCUUUGCACGCAGGAGGUCAGCGGUUCGAUCCCGCUAGGCUCCAUAGGUUAGCGAUAACCUAGAGAUUGAUCCUUGAAAAUUGAAUAUCUAUCAAAUUCCGUAUAUAUAGGAGACUAUAUAUAUGAAGUAACAAGAAAUAAACCGAAGAAAAAGACGCUAUAAAUACUGAGAACCAAAAAGAAAAAAGAAAUAAGGUUAAGUUAAUAAGGGCGCACGGUGGAUGCCUUGGCACUAGGAGCCGAAGAAGGACGUGACUAACAACGAAAUGCUUUGGGGAGCUGUAAGUAAGCGCUGAUCCAGAGAUAUCCGAAUGGGGGAACCCACUAGCUAAUGGCUAGUAUCCAUAACUGUUAAGGUUAUGAGAAGGAAGACGCAGUGAACUGAAACAUCUAAGUAGCUGCAGGAAGAGAAAGCAAACGCGAUUGCCUUAGUAGCGGCGAGCGAAACGGCAGGAGGGCAAACCGAAGAGUUUACUCUUCGGGGUUGUAGGACUGUAAUGUGGACGUUAUCUUUAUAGAAGAACUACCUGGGAAGGUAGGCCAAAGAGAGUAAGAGCCUCGUAUUUGAAAUAGAGAUAAUACCUAACAGUAUCCUGAGUACGGCGAGACACGUGGAAUCUCGUCGGAAGCUGGGAGGACCAUCUCCCAACCCUAAAUACUCCCUAGUGACCGAUAGUGAACCAGUACCGUGAGGGAAAGG